CCGGGCUUCUGGUCUCAGCUCCAGAAGUAUGAGGAGGCCCUCCAGGCCCAGUCCUGCCUGCAGGGAGAGCCCCCAGCCUUAGGGUUGGGCCCUGAGGCUUGAAGCUUGAAGGCCUGCUGCCUGGAGGAAGGAUGUCCCUGCACUGAUACAGAAGGCUGCUGUUUCUGGCAAAGCCUGCCGUGUCUUACAUUUGUCUCUCUAUCCGGAUUAGAUGUUGCUAUAUGAACACAUCGGGACUGUGUCUGCAGGAAGGAGCUCCCCAUUCGAGGCCUUCACAGUGUCACCCACAUUCACCUCUUUCCACUUAAACGUGUCCCAUGAAUCUUGUCAUAACAGUUUUGUGUUCCUUAACUAUUUUGUCUGCCAUGUCAUUUAUGAUGUAUAUAACCUCUUUAAUGCCUGAAAUCAUAAGAAUAAUCAUCAAAGGCAAGAGGGUUGUAUAUUUUCCCGUUGGAGACACAUCUGGAAUUUGCUGCAAU
RNAcentral lists this long non-coding RNA (479 nucleotides) under Homo sapiens (human). Its description in RNAcentral is "HSALNT0049783". The record is from RNAcentral. Lineage: Eukaryota; Metazoa; Chordata; Mammalia; Primates; Hominidae.